CCCUUAGAUGUUCUGGGCCGCACGCGCGCUACACUGAUGCAUUCAACGAGCCUAUCCUUGACCGACAGGUCCGGGUAAUCUUUGAAUCUGCAUCGUGACGGGGAUAGAUUAUUGCAAUUAUUAAUCUUCAACGAGGAAUGCCUAGUAGGCGCAAGUCAUCAGCUUGCGUCGAUUACGUCCCUGCCCUUUGUACACACCGCCCGUCGCUCCUACCGCUUGGGUGUGCUGGUGAAAUGUUCGGAUCGGCCGUUUGUCGCGGUUUCCGCGGCUCGUGGCUGAGAAGUUCAUUAAACCCUCCCACCUAGAGGAAGGAGAAGUCGUAACA
RNAcentral lists this ribosomal RNA (325 nucleotides) under uncultured eukaryote. RNAcentral describes it as "partial 18S ribosomal RNA". It matches the Rfam family "Eukaryotic small subunit ribosomal RNA", at positions 1470 to 1796 of the family's 1831-position model. The record is from RNAcentral.